AACUUCUUAUAUAAAUAUUAAGCUACCCAAUACAAUAAGAGCAGAUCUAGUACAGAAUCUUAAGAAUUUCUGAUAGCACAUGGAAGGUGUCAUCUUCUAAGGAAUGCAGCAAGUUUUCAGAGUAAUUGCUGAAGAACUCUAUCAGAUAGACAUUUUAUAUUCCCUCUAAUUGAAACUUGUGUUAUUAAGUUACAUUUUAAAAAAUGCUGAUUUUUCUCCUAGAUGAGAAUUGGUAUAAAGCAACCAGAAUGAAGAACAAGACUGUCAAGGACAAAGUCAAACUGGGCCAGAGAAUCAGAAAUUGUUUUCCAGUACAGAGUCCACACUGGUUUCAUAUGUGAUGAGGAGACAAGCAAACAGUGGAGAACAGCAGUAGAUACGACGCCGAUAAGCAAGAAAGAAAAAUUAAGGACAAAAAGACGGAGCUGUUUCUAAAAAAUCAGGUAAGGGAUUCAGGUGAUUCUCUAUAAAGUGUAACAUGUACAGUACAAAGAAUUGUGCCAAAUAGUUUAUCCUCCCUUCCUAGUAUUU
Molecule: long non-coding RNA, 531 nt
Filed under: Cyanistes caeruleus (blue tit)
Lineage: Eukaryota; Metazoa; Chordata; Aves; Passeriformes; Paridae
Description: lncRNA (ENSCCEG00000024165.1)
Source: RNAcentral